AAGCUCCGAAAUUUCCAAGUUAAGGCCUCGAAAUCCCGAUACAAGAAAGUUCGAGUGUCUUAAAAUUCCAAAAUCUCGAAGUUUAAACGGCUAUAACCAAAAUUGCAGGUUCGAGACGCGGUCCAUCGUAGUUUAGACGUUAGCGAUGGACAAGUAGGCAGUAAACCUGCGACAGCGUACAAAGAACGUGGGUUGAUGGAAAAGAGAGAAGACAGUGUUCAAGAAGCAGAAGAGAAAGGAGGCGGAGAAAGAAAGGAAGAGAUAAGAAGAGAAAGAAAGGGCGAAGGGUGAGAGGAAGGAAGAAAGGAAAAAACGAGAAGCAUUGGCAAUGCAGUGAUACGCAGUGGCAGCAGUGGCGCCGAAAAUGCAAUGCGGUGCGCCGGAACGACGGCGUCGGCGUCGGGCGUGGCGGAUAACUGACCUCGACUCGUCUAGCCCGGCCGCCCCUCGCGUCGCACCGUUUCCCAACGCUCUUAGGCUGCGUUCACACUCUUCUGCUCGCUUCUGCAUUUUCUUCUCAACAUCAAUUUGACCAAUUCGAUCAUUAUUUAAAUUUUCAUUUGUUACUUAUUGUCAUGGCAAUUAGAAUUUUUGUGACGUUAAAAAUUACCUUAUACGGUAAUUUGACUUGUAACUAGACCGUGGAUGGACAUCAAAGUCUAUGAAAUAAAAAUAAACCAUGUUAUCUGUAGAUUGCAGUUCUCCAUGUAGAUUACAUGGUAUAUUUAUACUUUGCAGACCUCGGUGUAUCUGUCAGUUCUUUAUGUAACUGCACAAACAUUCGCAAUUAUGACUGUAAAAAGCGGAAUCGAACGUCACGACGUUCUACGACAACACAUUGUUUGCUUAAUAACGCUAGCCAAAAAAAAAAUGAAUGGCAAAGUGUUUAUCUUGUUAUCCAGACAGAAGUUAAAUAGCUUAAGUAUUUUUGGAAGUAUUUUAGUGUUAUUAGUUAUUGUAAUGGGCAUUUCCAGUAAGGUGUAAGGUCUAAAGCAAGGUGAACGAUGCCUUAGGUCUAUCCCUCUGAUGCAGCAUCGUGCCAGUGAGCCCCCACUAUUCGCGACGUCGAAUACUACCACUACGCGCCACCACUGGUAACUUCUUUACUCUAGCACACGUUACCGUCUCUCUUUCUCCCUCGAAAGCUUUCGUUCUUGUCCUACGGUCAAAUGGUCGCGUUACCCCUCCAACGACGACCUUACUCCCUCUACACCUGCCUUACACCCGCUCCCCACCCCUUCGUUCCUCUCGUAUCGUCACUGUUCGAUUCUUCUCUCCUCUGCUCUCCCGUCUGCUCUUCUCGUCUCGUCGCGGCCUUCCGCGCCCCUGGCAGAUCGGCAGACAGCAGUCUGACUGUCUGGUUGCCCGGCAACGCGCCACUACCCGUCGCCGUUGACGUCGCCGUCGCCGUCGAUGAGAGAGGGUGAAUUCAGCGAUAGUUACGUGCCGCAUGCUGCACGAGCAAAUGCUACCAAGAGAUACCGAUCAAAAAUUGGCUAAAUUCCUUGUCUUUCCAUGCUACGGGAGAUGUAAGUUCCUUGCGAUUAGAAAACCUACGAGGAUCUUAGAGAAAUGCUAGAGAAAACUCGAGACAACUUAGACACCGAAUCAAAUCGUUUACCGAACACUGUUUCCUAAUCGAUUAACGAAACAUGUGUUAUCUAAAUCAUUGACGUGCCCAUCAAAUUUUCCCUCAUUGUCACUUUCCGUUUAAAAGCUUACUUCGAAAUACGGGUCAUAAAUUUUACUUUAUUUAUGACUACCGAUGAAGGUUUAGCUUUGUUUCGAUUUUGGAAAAUAAGUGACAAUGGAGAUUUGCAAUCAGUGAAAAUAUCAAUGUGGACGUUGUCAUUAUUCUUCAUUUAUUACUUAUACCUAAAGGAAAAAUCGUAUUGUUUCGAGCACAAGGUAUGCCGGUAGAACAGUUCAGGUAUAACUAGGUACUGAUAUUAUCUACGAGAUAUACGAAAGCAAUGGUUCGUGUCAUUGUUUGAGUCGAAACUAAGAUUUUCAGGAAUCUAUUCUUCGAAAUUUCUCCAAGGAACGGUAUCUUCCGAAGAAUAAAAGAACAAUGCCGAAGGUAGUAAGGAACGAACGUGUACACAGUUAUAAAGCUAUUAAACGUCUUUGUCUCUUGCUUUUACCUUUUAUUUUAUAAAAGAUCGAUAUUUCUAAUGUAUUUAUACCUUCCCUUGGACAACAAUACACCCCGGGUCCAGGCAACAGAAAAUGUCUGAUACAAAAAAUUUGAUUGUAUUUUAAUCGGUUGAUUACGAGACAACAAAAAUGUAUAGACUGACUAGUUAACUUGGUUAUACGUUGCAACAACAUUCCUUUGUUAGAUACCAAUUCCUUAGCCAAUAAGGUUCGGCUGUGUGACUCAUAACACAACUGCUCAGUGACUCAGACCCUGAGAUUGCCAGCAAUGUCUUGAGACGUGGCAUCCGAAUCUAAAUCAUGAGUGAUGCUAAGACCUCCAAAUACCUAAGACUUUGGCACCCUGGGACUUGAAAUUUUCAAAUUUCCUCGCUUUCGGGCUUUGGAAAAUACUGCGUUAUAAGCGGAUGGGUUGCGAAAAUUUAUUUUCGUUUAUAAAUGUUUUUGGAAAGACCUGCUAUAAAAGAUGCGACAAAAUGUUGUAUGCGCGAAUCAAUGGUUUAAAUAUGUCUCUAGUGAAUUUCGCGAAACUAAUAAAAAUGUUUAUAUCCUAUAAAAGACUUUAUGAUUGUAGAGAUGUAUAAAAAAAAAAUAUGAAAUUGAGUACGGCACUAAUUCAACAAUUAUGCAUGACUAAGUUAUUAUUAAUCGCUGGCUGCGAUGGUCAUUGACUGAAAUGGCUGUGAAUCAACUUAUCUAUGGAAUGCUUCUGUUAUGCGUCGUGUCGCGUUGCAUUCUUCUGACGUUGGUUACAAAACACGUGUUAUUCCUGUAAGAUUAAACAUUCAUUCUUUUAAGUAAAAAAUAUUAUUUUAUUUGGAAUAUGUCAAAAAUUUGUUAUUAUAAAGCGAAACGUUAGCAUAAAUGCUAAAGUAAUGCUAAUCGUCAAAAUAUCCUUAUACAGUUCAAUUAUUUUCAAUCUUAAAUAAACGAUGUUCUUACCAACAGUAAUGCUUAUUUUCAUUAAUGCCUUAUCUGUACAUUAACAAUUCACAAGAAUUUAAUGACCUUAUAAUAUGUAAAUUAUUUGUACAAGUUAACUAUCAUAUAAAAUGAGUAUGUUUUUUAUAUUCGAAUUUCAUUGCAUAAACGAGCGUGUAUCUUUGUUGGAUUCGCUAUUAUACUCUCUUCAUUUACAUAUACAGAUGUUGUAAUGUCAUUUAAAUUAUGGUAUAUGGUUACAGAUAUAUGUAUGUGUGUAUGUAUAUACACGACAAGACACAAAUUGACUGAAAUAUUAACAAUGUUUAAGACUAUUAAACAUUUCAUUUUUUAUGUAUUAUUCAUACAGUAAAACGUUAGACGUGUACAUUCUGUCUCGCUUAUAUCUUUGUAAUAUAUCACAUCAUACUAAUCUUAAAUAUGAUCUAAAUAUAUAUAAAAUUAUAAUUUUCGUGACGUGUGAAAAAAAUACAGAAGUGAGAAUAAAUUGUACAUAUUAUUCAAUAAAAUUCAUGCAUAUGUUCCAUUUCUUUAAUAUGCAUAUACAACUGAUUUAUAUUACGUGUAUUUGUAUUUAUUUAGGUGUUCAUUAAAAUUUUUCUUCUACAAAUUCCUUUGCUCUCCAUAUUAUUAGUCGUAUAAGAUAAAAUGUUCAUAGUCAAAGAUUUUUUCAACGAAACAAACAUAAUUAUAAAAUAAUGUUUUGCAACUUAAUAUAUUUUAACGAGUGAAAAAUUGAAUGACACACAUUUUCUAUGUUACAAAACAAUUUCGUUUCUUCGUAAUCUUAUUUUUAUAAAUAAGAUGGAAAGCACAAAGGUGUAUAAUCUGAUAUUUUAAUGUUUACUACCUACACCUUAUCUACAAAGCAUGUAUAGUAUCAAAUAAUUGUAAACGGCUGACUAGACACAUACCUACUGUGUAAUAGGUAAUUCGGAUGUUAUUGUAUAUUACUAUCAGAUCGUCAAGCAUUACGAGAAACGCAUACAACAAAACUAUGCUAAUGACCGUAGAUAACUGAAAAGUGAAUGGAAUAUAAAAAAGUUCUACGCUUAAUAUAUUUGUAUGAAAAAAUGUCUGUGCUAAAAAAAAAA
Megachile rotundata (alfalfa leafcutting bee) is the source of this 4193-nucleotide long non-coding RNA. NCBI's taxonomy places the organism in Eukaryota, Metazoa, Arthropoda, Insecta, Hymenoptera, Megachilidae. The record is from RefSeq and is a predicted model, not a curated record.